This 292-nucleotide long non-coding RNA is filed under the name Theobroma cacao (cacao). RNAcentral describes it as "long non-coding RNA (TCAC_LNC005424)". Lineage: Eukaryota; Viridiplantae; Streptophyta; Magnoliopsida; Malvales; Malvaceae. The record is from RNAcentral.
ACUUCAGUUAGCCUUGCAUUGUCAAAAUUAUAAGUUCACAGACUCGCAUCUUAUUGGUUAGUUGGGGGCCCACGUGUCAUUGUAAAAGUAAUUUUAUACUUUAGUUAUCUGAUUUAAAAUAUGUAUGAACAUAUUAAGCUUUUACACCAUGUUUUUGGCGAGUUUCGGUAUUAUCGAAGAAAAAUGACGAAAAUGCCUCUAUGAGCCAGAAAAUAAUAUUUUAUUGUUUUGAUUUGGAAACGACUUAUGAUUUCUUGAAAUGCAAGAUUUAAUAACUGUCGCUCACCGGGGA